GGCUGAAAUUCGCCUUCAUGAAGCCCGGGGAUUGCUAGUAAUGGCAGGUCAGCAUACUGCCGUGAAUACGUUCCCGGGCCUUGUACACACCGCCCGUCACACCAUGAGAGUUGGGGAUACCCGAAGCCUGUGAGCUAACUAUUUAUAGGAGCAGCAGUCGAAGGUAGAAUCAAUGAUUGGGGUGAAGUCGUAACAAGGUACC
RNAcentral lists this ribosomal RNA (202 nucleotides) under uncultured bacterium. RNAcentral describes it as "partial 16S ribosomal RNA". It matches the Rfam family "Bacterial small subunit ribosomal RNA", at positions 1303 to 1500 of the family's 1533-position model. The record is from RNAcentral.